CCCUUAGAUGUUCUGGGCCGCACGCGCGCUACACUGAUGCAUUCAACGAGUCUAAAACCUGGUCUGAUAGGGCUGGGUAAUCUUUUGAAAGUGCAUCGUGAUUGGGAUAGAUGAUUGCAAUUCUUCAUCUUCAACGAGGAAUGCCUAGUAAACGCAAGUCAUCAGCUUGCAUUGAUUACGUCCCUGCCCUUUGUACACACCGCCCGUCGCUCCUACCGAUUGAAUGGUCCGGUGAAGUGUUCGGAUCGCGCCGACGUGGGCGGUUCGCCGCCGGCGACGUCGCGAGAAGUCCACUGAACCUUAUCAUUUAGAGGAAGGAGAAGUCGUAACA
RNAcentral lists this ribosomal RNA (331 nucleotides) under uncultured eukaryote. RNAcentral's name for it is "partial 18S ribosomal RNA". It matches the Rfam family "Eukaryotic small subunit ribosomal RNA", at positions 1470 to 1796 of the family's 1831-position model. The record is from RNAcentral.